CGGGUUGUAGCUCAGAUUGGUGAGAGCGCUCGGUUGAAACCCGAGAGGCCCCUGGUUCGAAUCCAGGCAUCCCGG
This 75-nucleotide transfer RNA is filed under the name Mycobacterium phage Bongo. It matches the Rfam family "tRNA". Rfam says of the family: Transfer RNA (tRNA) molecules are approximately 80 nucleotides in length. Their secondary structure includes four short double-helical elements and three loops (D, anti-codon, and T loops). Further hydrogen bonds mediate the characteristic L-shaped molecular structure. tRNAs have two regions of fundamental functional importance: the anti-codon, which is responsible for specific mRNA codon recognition, and the 3' end, to which the tRNAs corresponding amino acid is attached (by aminoacyl-tRNA synthetases). tRNAs cope with the degeneracy of the genetic code in two manners: having more than one tRNA (with a specific anti-codon) for a particular amino acid; and 'wobble' base-pairing, i.e. permitting non-standard base-pairing at the 3rd anti-codon position. Lineage: Duplodnaviria; Heunggongvirae; Uroviricota; Caudoviricetes; Vilmaviridae. The record is from Rfam by way of RNAcentral. RNAcentral also lists the same sequence under 1 other name.